RNAcentral lists this microRNA precursor (60 nucleotides) under Parasteatoda tepidariorum (common house spider). RNAcentral describes it as "microRNA pte-mir-11944 precursor". The record is from miRBase by way of RNAcentral. Lineage: Eukaryota; Metazoa; Arthropoda; Arachnida; Araneae; Theridiidae.
CCUCGAACUCUACAUGGCGCCAAUACUUUCAGAUAUUGGCGCCAUGUAGUGUUCGCGGAC